AAGCCCACGAAUACAACUUAUUGGUUUGGAGCUCCUCUUGAGAAAAAUGAACCACCCGUUGCAGGCUCCUCCACCCACAAUCGUCACCUUCCCCGUUGAAAAGUCGGUGAACUCGUUGAGAUUGAUGAAGUCGCCAUGGUAAUUCGGGCAUUAUUGUGUUAUUGACUUUCACUUCCGUAGUUCUAAGGGAGUAAGAAGCAUUAUUGGCGGUGGCAGCCGGUGGUAGAGAGCUGUUGUGGCAGUUUAGGGUUGGGUUUGGAAUCAUAGGAGAAGAUGAGGUUGCUUUAGUAAUUUCAUUGAAUAGCUAAUUUGUAAUAGUAUUAUUAAUUAUUUUUUUUUUUGUAGGUACUGAGAACAUAAGG
This 362-nucleotide long non-coding RNA is filed under the name Actinidia chinensis (golden kiwifruit). Its description in RNAcentral is "long non-coding RNA (ACHI_LNC009181)". Lineage: Eukaryota; Viridiplantae; Streptophyta; Magnoliopsida; Ericales; Actinidiaceae. The record is from RNAcentral.